Long non-coding RNA from Chelonia mydas (Green sea turtle), 211 nucleotides. RefSeq lists it as uncharacterized. The record is from RefSeq and is a predicted model, not a curated record. The transcript is spliced from 2 exons. NCBI's taxonomy places the organism in Eukaryota, Metazoa, Chordata, Testudines, Cheloniidae.
GAGAUUCUGUUUUCCCAUAUGCAUUACAAUUAGGACCUGUUAUAAAGUUUAGUUAAUAAGAGACAGGAUUUUGUAUUGUGUCUAUGUUAAUUAGAUUAAAGGAAUGUUGAAGGCCUGAGCACAAUGUAAACUGUUUUUGACCACAAGAUUUAGUGAAGUUUAAUUUCUGUCUUCUCUGUUUCAGAGUAACAGCCGUGUUAGUCUGUAUUCG